This 192-nucleotide long non-coding RNA is filed under the name Scleropages formosus (Asian bonytongue). RNAcentral describes it as "lncRNA (ENSSFOG00015028814.1)". Lineage: Eukaryota; Metazoa; Chordata; Actinopteri; Osteoglossiformes; Osteoglossidae. The record is from RNAcentral.
GGGAGACGGAGACACAGAAAAAGAGAGAGAGUGAGAGAGAGAGAGAGAGAGAGAGAGAGAGAGAGAGAGAGAGAGACGUGGCUCCUAAUCCUUCUUUAUUGAAAGCACACAAAGUCCAGGCUUGGCAUUUCUCAGCGAGAAUCACUCAGAGGAGGAUAAUGAAGACAAUGAUCAACGCAGCAGGGCGGCUUC